ACACCCCCCCCCAACCGGAGCCGUGAGGUGCGGGUCCAGCUGCGGGCGGUGCCGGAGGAUCCCGUCGCCGGCGGUCACAGUGGGUCAUGGCAGGGCGGACACAGCCGCCUGGUUAGCACUGCAACUGGAAAUGCACUCGUGGAAAUCCCCAUGGACCAAAGUGCUCCUCUCUCUGGCAAACACAUGGGUGCAGCCAAAGCAAGUCGGAGGGACAGCAUUUCUUUACCAAUUCUCUACAAAGAGAAGAAGGACCAUACAGUUCCGUGGAGGUCCUCUGCGAAGCGACACUGACAAUUCAAUCUGGCUGAAGAGUUAAGUAGCUGCACCAACUUCCAAUUCAAAGCAAACAUGAAAGGAAGAUUUAACAGGCAAAUUAUAUAUACCUCAUCUAGCCCUAGAGAGCUCCCUGGGAAACUUGGAAUUUUCUCCCUACCCCAGGAGAAAAACUGAGCGACAAACUUCCUUCUGUGUUCUGGCUGACACAUCAGGACAUGAUUCCUCCCCUAUGAACAUGGAAGCAUUAAGACCUCUACUGAAAGAAAAAUGUAACUGUAGAAGAAUAUAGAGGCUUUUAAGGCAUUUAAGAUACAAGGAAACAACAGGAGUUACUGAAUACAUCAUUUUGAGACUGUUUUGCCUGUUUAUUCACACAUAACGCUUGCCUGAACGCUCUGGUCUCCAAAUAGAAAAAGUGACUACCUCAUUUACCACCUCGGGACAACCAACCAUUUCCAGUUACUUACAAUUUAAGUCCACUUCUGACUCUGGCAUUGCUUCAUGCAAUGUGCAUUUGCACCAUCUACAGUCUCUGUCUAGGGAAAAUGUGUUGCUUGAACUUCCCCCCACCUCAGGAAAGAUAUCGACGGCGCGUGUCGUCACCAGUGGCUCCACUGAUGGUGGAAACAACUUUCUCCAUAGAAAUCAUGAAGAAUCAAGACAAAUCAUGCUGUUAAUAAGCCAGUGCUCUAGGUCACUCCGAUGACGACCGCAAUCCCUGCUCAUGGCUUUGGCAGCCAAGCACCAAUGAUUUACAAUUUGGAUCUCAGCGCGCACAGGCAGGUUUUCACUGUAGCGUGGCACUCUGCUACUGCUUCACAAGACUCAUUGCACUGCAUUGUUAACUUCAUUUCCAGCUCUUGGAAACUCUUCAUCAAAAGUUAGUAUUGCAUCUAACAGGAGAGAUGCAAAGAUGAAGGAAUAGCAAUUCCUUUGCCAAUCAAAGAACCUUCUUCUUCAGGUAAACUCUUGACUUGGUUGCAUUUCCUGGGACUGCAGUCUUCUGGAAGGGAUGAGGAACCUCUUUAAUCCAAAAGUGUCAUCUCUGAAGCACUAUGGAUGCCUUUCAGCAAGGUUAUGAAGUGUCUUUGGGGAAAUCACAAUAGCGUAGAUGGAAGCUUCUGGAAGGCCCACAGAAAUAUCCUUUCCCACUUGCAUAAUCAAAGAUAACAAGUAACUUCUUGCUUUUAGUUCAUCUAUUUCAACACAAAAACAGGCAGUGAAAAAGGAAAGAAUCCCAUUUGUAGGCAGCACCCAAAACCCAGAAUUUUGGGGAAACAGAAAAAAAAAGAAAAAAAAA
Molecule: long non-coding RNA, 1576 nt
Organism: Strigops habroptila (Kakapo)
Lineage: Eukaryota; Metazoa; Chordata; Aves; Psittaciformes; Psittacidae
Source: Ensembl